RNAcentral lists this ribosomal RNA (253 nucleotides) under uncultured bacterium. Its description in RNAcentral is "partial 16S ribosomal RNA". It matches the Rfam family "Bacterial small subunit ribosomal RNA", at positions 524 to 776 of the family's 1533-position model. The record is from RNAcentral.
UACGUAGGUGGCAAGCGUUGUCCGGCAUUAUUGGGCGUAAAGCGCGCGCAGGCGGCUUCUUAAGUCUGAUGUGAAAGCCCACGGCUCAACCGUGGAGGGUCAUUGGAAACUGGGGAGCUUGAGUGCAGAAGAGGAGAGUGGAAUUCCAUGUGUAGCGGUGAAAUGGGUAGAUAUAUGGAGGAACACCAGUGGAGAAGGCGGCUCUCUGGGCUGUAACUGACGCUGAGGCGCGAAAGCGUGGGGAGCAAACAGG